CGACUUAGCUCAGUUGGUAGAGCAGCUGAUUUGUAAUCAGCAGGUCGCGAGUUCGAGUCUCG
This 62-nucleotide transfer RNA is filed under the name uncultured Saccharofermentans sp. It matches the Rfam family "tRNA", at positions 8 to 62 of the family's 71-position model. Rfam says of the family: Transfer RNA (tRNA) molecules are approximately 80 nucleotides in length. Their secondary structure includes four short double-helical elements and three loops (D, anti-codon, and T loops). Lineage: Bacteria; Bacillati; Bacillota; Clostridia; Eubacteriales; Oscillospiraceae. The record is from RNAcentral.